CCGUGCUAAGCGGGGAGCUAGCGGUGCCCUGUACCCACAACCCGCUCCAGUGGGGCUGAAUCCCCGGCCGAGGCUGUCAGCUUUCUGGCCAGGCUUGCUUUUCCGGGCGAUGAAGGUUUGGGCCCUGCGCAAAGAGCCAGCUGUUAACCCCGCCAGGACCGGAAGGUAGCAACGGUAGCAGCCGGGUUCUUGUGUGGCAGUCAGCCUGACCGGAGCUUCAGGGAAGCGAGGUCCGCAGGGGGCGAGCAGUCGAAGCCGGGUGCACGG
RNAcentral lists this signal recognition particle RNA (267 nucleotides) under Acidobacteriota bacterium. RNAcentral describes it as "Acidobacteria bacterium (hydrocarbon metagenome) signal recognition particle sRNA large type". It matches the Rfam family "Bacterial large signal recognition particle RNA". From Rfam's summary of the family: The signal recognition particle (SRP) is a universally conserved ribonucleoprotein involved in the co-translational targeting of proteins to membranes. Archaeal SRP consists of a 7S RNA and homologues of the eukaryotic SRP19 and SRP54 proteins. In most bacteria, the SRP consists of a 4.5S RNA and the Ffh protein (a homologue of the eukaryotic SRP54 protein). Lineage: Bacteria; Pseudomonadati; Acidobacteriota. The record is from RNAcentral.